This 685-nucleotide ribosomal RNA is filed under the name Streptomyces sp. M20(2014). RNAcentral's name for it is "bacterial SSU rRNA". It matches the Rfam family "Bacterial small subunit ribosomal RNA", at positions 98 to 797 of the family's 1533-position model. The record is from RNAcentral. Lineage: Bacteria; Bacillati; Actinomycetota; Actinomycetes; Kitasatosporales; Streptomycetaceae.
GCGAACGGGUGAGUAACACGUGGGCAAUCUGCCCUGCACUCUGGGACAAGCCCUGGAAACGGGGUCUAAUACCGGAUGACACCCCCUCUCGCAUGGGAGGGGGUUGAAAGCUCCGGCGGUGCAGGAUGAGCCCGCGGCCUAUCAGCUUGUUGGUGAGGUAGAAGCUCACCAAGGCGACGACGGGUAGCCGGCCUGAGAGGGCGACCGGCCACACUGGGACUGAGACACGGCCCAGACUCCUACGGGAGGCAGCAGUGGGGAAUAUUGCACAAUGGGCGAAAGCCUGAUGCAGCGACGCCGCGUGAGGGAUGACGGCCUUCGGGUUGUAAACCUCUUUCAGCAGGGAAGAAGCGAAAGUGACGGUACCUGCAGAAGAAGCGCCGGCUAACUACGUGCCAGCAGCCGCGGUAAUACGUAGGGCGCAAGCGUUGUCCGGAAUUAUUGGGCGUAAAGAGCUCGUAGGCGGCUUGUCACGUCGGUUGUGAAAGCCCGGGGCUUAACCCCGGGUCUGCAGUCGAUACGGGCAGGCUAGAGUGUGGUAGGGGAGAUCGGAAUUCCUGGUGUAGCGGUGAAAUGCGCAGAUAUCAGGAGGAACACCGGUGGCGAAGGCGGAUCUCUGGGCCAUUACUGACGCUGAGGAGCGAAAGCGUGGGGAGCGAACAGGAUUAGAUACCCUGGUAGUCCA